GGAAAGUUGCAAAGUACUUUGAAGAGAGAGUUCAAGAGGACGUGAAACCGAUAGGAUGGAAGCAGAUGAAGUUGACGAACGUGUGUCGUAUUCAAAAUUGCUGUCAGCGGUUUGUUUUUACGGCCGAUGUGGGCCGGCGGCUUUGGUCAAUGCAACGCGUCUAGCGUCGAUGGUGACCCUGCGGAGGGACAAUCAGUCGACGUACGGUGCUUGGUAUGGCUAAGGUUUCGCCGGUCUUAAAGUCAGCGCCUCAUCUGACCCGUCUUGAAACACGGACCAAGGAGUGUAGCGUUUGCGCAAGUCUUAGAGUGUAUCGAAACUUUGAGGCGUAACGAAAGUAAAUGCAGUUUAAUCUGCUGACUUGGGAUGCGUUGUCUCUUGUGGACGGCGCUGGACCAAGGUUUUAUCGCGAUCGCUUGCGGUGCGGUGAAAAUA
RNAcentral lists this ribosomal RNA (435 nucleotides) under Steinernema feltiae. Its description in RNAcentral is "partial 28S ribosomal RNA". It matches the Rfam family "Eukaryotic large subunit ribosomal RNA", at positions 358 to 797 of the family's 3401-position model. The record is from RNAcentral. Lineage: Eukaryota; Metazoa; Nematoda; Chromadorea; Rhabditida; Steinernematidae.